AGAGUUUGAUCCUGGCUCAGGAUGAAUGCUGGCGGCGUGCCUAAUACAUGCAAGUCGCACGCGAGGCCGGGUGCUUGCACCCCGAUUCUCGAGUGGCGGACGGGUGAGUAACACGUAGGCAACCUGCCCCGCAGACCGGGAUAACCACGGGAAACCGUGGCUAAUACCGGAUAAUCCCUGGUGUCAUAAGGCGCCGGGUUGAAAGACGGUUUCGGCUGUCACUGCGGGAUGGGCCUGCGGCGCAUUAGCUGGUUGGCGGGGUCACGGCCCGCCAAGGCGACGAUGCGUAGCCGACCUGAGAGGGUGAUCGGCCACACUGGGACUGAGACACGGCCCAGACUCCUACGGGAGGCAGCAGUAGGGAAUCUUCCGCAAUGGACGCAAGUCUGACGGAGACCAACGCCGCGUGAGUGAGGAAGGGUUUCGGCUACGUAAAACUCUGUUGUUAAGGAAGAACGCCGGGGAUUUAACUGAUCUCCGAGUGACGGUACUUAACCAGAAAGCCACGGCUAACUACGUGCCAGCCGCCGC
Molecule: ribosomal RNA, 531 nt
Filed under: uncultured bacterium
Lineage: Bacteria
Description: bacterial SSU rRNA
Rfam family: Bacterial small subunit ribosomal RNA
Source: RNAcentral